UACGUAGGGAGCAAGCGUUGUCCGGAAUCAUUGGGCGUAAAGCGCGCGUAGGCGGCCCCGUAAGUCCGCUGUGAAAGUCAAAGGCUCAACCUUUGAAAGCCGGUGGAUACUGUGGGGCUAGAGUCCGGAAGAGGUGAGUGGAAUUCCUGGUGUAGCGGUGGAAUGCGCAGAUAUCAGGAGGAACACCAAUAGCGAAGGCAGCUCGCUGGGACGGUACUGACGCUAAGGCGCGAAAGCGUGGGGAGCGAACAGG
This 253-nucleotide ribosomal RNA is filed under the name uncultured bacterium. RNAcentral describes it as "partial 16S ribosomal RNA". It matches the Rfam family "Bacterial small subunit ribosomal RNA", at positions 524 to 776 of the family's 1533-position model. The record is from RNAcentral.